This 217-nucleotide long non-coding RNA is filed under the name Gossypium barbadense (sea-island cotton). Its description in RNAcentral is "long non-coding RNA (GBAR_LNC001474)". The record is from RNAcentral. Lineage: Eukaryota; Viridiplantae; Streptophyta; Magnoliopsida; Malvales; Malvaceae.
CAGGACGUGUACUAGGUCAUGCCAAACUUGUCAGGUAUAUUGACUUAUGCAACACGGCCAAGUCACACACCCAUGUGUGAAACCGUGUGAAGCAUACUGACUUUAUUUUAAUUUCAACACCAGGAGACACAAGGCUAUGCAACAUGACCUUGUGUCGCAUAUGGUUGAGACAUACACCCACGUCUCUGCCCGUGUGGACAAAAAUAGACCAUUUACC